Molecule: non-coding RNA, 742 nt
Filed under: Beta vulgaris subsp. vulgaris (sugar beet)
Lineage: Eukaryota; Viridiplantae; Streptophyta; Magnoliopsida; Caryophyllales; Amaranthaceae
Description: Bacterial large subunit ribosomal RNA
Rfam family: Bacterial large subunit ribosomal RNA
Source: Rfam by way of RNAcentral
GUAGUAGAGUGUUCUCUAAGUAAUGGCCUAGAGAAAUAAGAAUGCUGACAUGAGUAAUUGAAUAGACCUUAAGUACAAGUUAAGUAUAAGACAAAAUACCUAAGGUAAGAUACGGAUGUAUAAUCCUACUGAUAGUUAAUGAAUAUUAAUAAAACCAUAAGAUGGGUUAUUGAGUUUAUUACUCUGAAGAUAUCUUAUAUGUAAGGUUACUUUUACCAAGUAAUAACCUUACGUGUAAUCAUUGUUAGGGAAUAUGGCAAGUUUAUCCUGUAACUUCGGAAUAAAGGAUGACGUACUAGAUGUAACUAUCUGGUACGUAAUACAGAAAGGGAUCUGAUACUGUUAUGUUUAUUCCAGCUCUAUGAAUGGAUAUAAUCUUACGCAUAGAGUAUGACGUUUACCCGGUGCUAUCAUAUAGCAUUAUUAGUCCGACUACCUAUGGACUACAAAACAUAACACAGGUUCACUACCCUAAUAAUAGGCUUAAUGAAAUCAUAAUAUACGUGAAAAUACACGUUAACAACUACAAAACGACAAAGACCUUGGAUUUCACUGUUUCCAUACGCCAUUUGAGACGUACGUAUAUCGUAUGUUUUAAAGGUUGUACUUGACGGUGCAACAUACGUAUGGUUGUCAGUUUAUUUGCAAAGGACACCACAUAAAGAGUAACUGCGGUUCUCUUAAGGUUGCUUAGAAUAUAUCAAUAUUCUAUUACGUAAUGGUAAGAAGCAAUCAGACAGUA